This 492-nucleotide ribosomal RNA is filed under the name uncultured bacterium. RNAcentral's name for it is "partial 16S ribosomal RNA". It matches the Rfam family "Bacterial small subunit ribosomal RNA", at positions 29 to 507 of the family's 1533-position model. The record is from RNAcentral.
AGUGAACGCUGGCGGCAGGCCUAACACAUGCAAGUCGAACGGCAGCAGAGUACGUGCUUGCUCUUACGGGUGUGGAGUGGGGGGCGGGUCGGGUAGAUAUCCGGAUUUGUUGUGGCGGAGGGCAUAAGGUAGGGAAAGUUACUCCAAUAUAACAGACGACGUAGGGGGGCAAUCAUGGGAUCUUCGGAAUUUACGCGAUACCAGGUGGCGAUGUCUGAUUAGCUAGUUGGGGGGGUAAAGGCCCACCAAGGCGACGAUCCGUAGCGGGUCUGAGAGGAUGAUCAGCCACACUGGAACUGAGACACGGUCCAGACUCCUACGGGAGGCAGCAGUGGGGAAUAUUGGACAAUGGGCGAAAGCCUGAUCCAGCCAUACCGCGUGGGUGAAGAAGGUCUUCGGGUUGUAAAGCCCUUUGGUUGGGAAGGAAGAGCAGCAGGUUAAUACCUUGCUGUUCUGACGGUACCAAAAGAAUAAGCACCGGCUAACUUCGUG